UAGGUGAGACACCAGCGACCACUGUUCCAGACCAACGUGAACCAUGUUCACAGUGACAAAAGUGGGUAUUUUUUAACGCAAGGUCAGGACAUUUCCAGCCAUGAUUGCAGCGACAAAAGUGGGUAUUUUUUAACGCAAGUUUGGGACAUUUCCAGCCAUGAUCGCAGCGACAAAAGUGGGUAUUUUUUAACGGGAGGUUGGGACAUUUCCAGCCAUGUCCGCAGUGACAAAAUAAAGUAUUUUUUCAUGAGAGGCUGGGAUACUUCUAGGCAUGGUUGUACGAAAAAAGUGGGUAUUUUUUGAAGAGAGGUCAGAA
Molecule: long non-coding RNA, 316 nt
Organism: Epinephelus fuscoguttatus (brown-marbled grouper)
Lineage: Eukaryota; Metazoa; Chordata; Actinopteri; Perciformes; Serranidae
Exons: 2
Source: RefSeq, a predicted model, not a curated record